GUCUUGAAACACGGACCAAGGAGUCUAACAUGUGCGCGAGUCAUUGGGACUCUAAAACCUAAAGGCGCAAUGAAAGUGAAGGUCGUACUAAGGUCGACCGAGGGAGGAUGGGCCGCGUUUACGCGCGGCUCCGCACUCCCGGGGCGUCUCGUUCUCAUUGCGAGAAGAGGCGCACCCAGAGCGUACACGUUGGGACCCGAAAGAUGGUGAACUAUGCCUGGUCAGGACGAAGUCAGGGGAAACCCUGAUGGAGGUCCGUAGCGAUUCUGACGUGCAAAUCGAUCGUCGGAACUGGGUAUAGGGGCGAAAGACUAAUCGAACCAUCUAGUAGCUGGUUCCCUCCGAAGUUUCCCUCAGGAUAGCUGGCACUCGUUUGUUCUCUUAUUGAACGUAAACGAGUUUCAUCUGGUAAAGCGAAUGAUUAGAGGCCUUGGGGCCGAAACGACCUCAACCUAUUCUCAAACUUUAAAUGGGUGAGAUCUCUGGCUUUCUUGAACUAUGAAGCCACGAGAGAUUUUGGAUCAGAGUGCCAAGUGGGCCAAUUUU
RNAcentral lists this ribosomal RNA (546 nucleotides) under Polistes cinerascens. RNAcentral describes it as "eukaryotic LSU rRNA". It matches the Rfam family "Eukaryotic large subunit ribosomal RNA", at positions 651 to 1138 of the family's 3401-position model. Lineage: Eukaryota; Metazoa; Arthropoda; Insecta; Hymenoptera; Vespidae. The record is from RNAcentral.